RNA transcript from Glycine soja, 1540 nucleotides. RefSeq lists it as uncharacterized. NCBI's taxonomy places the organism in Eukaryota, Viridiplantae, Streptophyta, Magnoliopsida, Fabales, Fabaceae. The transcript is spliced from 4 exons. The record is from RefSeq and is a predicted model, not a curated record.
GAUCUUAAACGUGUAAACCGUGCGAUCUUCAUCUGAUGACUUAAAAUCGGUGUAUGAGUGAAUGCGUGGAAUGGCGAAAACAGGGAAUUAGAGUCCCUCUUUCUUCUCCCUCCCGCACUGCGCCAUUUUCAAGUACGCUCACUCACUACUCUUCCCAAAACCCUAAAAACCGUCACUUUUUUUUUUUGUUUCCGAUGGCCGGUGGCAUCGACAUGUCCCUCGACGACAUUAUGAAGCGCUCAGCCGCCGCCGUAGCCUCUCGCUGCCGAUUCACGGUUGUUCGCAACCCGGCCAGAACGACGUCGUAUCCCAUUACGCAGAUGAGUUAGGGUUUCGCAAGGCAAAAGAGCAUGGUUGCAUUGCCAGAAAUGGUUUUGGAGGAGUCAGGUGCGGCUAAGAUUGAAAGUGGCACCAAAAUUGAUAGGGUCCCUGAAGGUGAUAAGGAAAAGAAACAGUAAUGUGCCUUGUAUUCUAGAACAAGGAAAACUCCUCAAGAUAAGAAAUGACUGAAAAAUUGCUCUGUGUGUAUUAUUCUUAUUACUAAAUGGUAUUUAAAGGCUAUCCUAGUGCAACUCCAUAACAGAAUUGGUUAGCUAUCAUAGCAGAAAGAUACAGAGCAAUAGCACAAUUAACAGAAUUGAAAUAUCUCCUAACGAAUGAAUUUCCCACGUGCUUGGUUCUUGAAUCUUCUAUGUGUAAUCUGCCAAGUAAGUGGGCUUGCUACGUGUCCUUAUGGGCCUGGUAGGUGAUGUUGGUAUUGCUAUCAAAAAUCUAUUUAUCUAACUUGGAUCAUGGAGUUUCCAACGAUGAUAUCAAGCUGCUGUUCUCGGAGGAAGGUGAAUUGAAAAGGUCAAUCAUUAUGACCAGAGUGGGAGAUCAAAGGGAACAGCAGAAGUUGUGUUCGUGAGGUACCAUGAUGCUUUAGCAGCCAUCAAGAAAUACAACAAUAUGAGGCUUGAUGGAAAGCCAUUGCAAAUUGAGCUUGCUGGAACAAGUUCGGCUACUCCUGCUGUCACGCCUCUUUGUCAAAAUAACUUGAUGGGAAGACCAAAUGAUGUCCAUUUUAGCAUAUGAGGAAGGGUUGGAGGUAUUGGGUUCCGCAAUGCUUUGCUCAGGGCCACCUUCCAAGGGGCCGUGGAGAAGAGAAGGACCAUAUUCGAAAGGUGUCUUCUGGAUAUCUUGAUCAUAGCUUUGAGAGGUUCCACCGCACUCAGACUCAGAGAGGCCACUUAAAAGUAAAUGGCAAUUUUGGAAAGGUGACUGCUAAAGAUCUUGAUGAUGACUUGGAGAGGUAUCACUUAGAGGCUCUAAGCGGAUUAAAAAGCAAAAUGGAAAGUGAGAUAACCACUGAUAGCUUUAAUGACUCAUUCUGAGUAAAUAGGACAAAAAAUCAUUGUUUUAUAUAACAUAAUGGUAAUAUGUCUGGGAUUUCUGAUUUCGAAUUUUUCUUGCAAAAUAUUAACUCUGCUGUAUAUACAAGUUUGCUAUUUGGACAUUUAUCUUUCAAAACUUAAACGGACGUAGAGUUAGUUACGGGUCA